UGGGGAAUCUUGGACAAUGGGGGCAACCCUGAUCCAGCCAUGCCGCGUGAGUGAUGAAGGCCUUAGGGUCGUAAAGCUCUUUCGCCUGUGAAGAUAAUGACGGUAGCAGGUAAAGAAACCCCGGCUAACUCCGUGCCAGCAGCCGCGGUAAUACGGAGGGGGUUAGCGUUGUUCGGAAUUACUGGGCGUAAAGCGCACGUAGGCGGACCAGAAAGUUGGGGGUGAAAUCCCGGGGGCUCAACCCCGGAACUGCCUCCAAAACUAUUGGUCUAGAGUUCGAGAGAGGUGAGUGGAAUUCCAAGUGUAGAGGUGAAAUUCGUAGAUAUUUGGAGGAACACCAGUGGCGAAGGCGGCUCACUGGCUCGAUACUGACGCUGAGGUGCGAAAGUGUGGGGAGCAAACAGGAUUAGAUACCCCUGGUAGUCCACACCGUAAAACGAUGAAUGCCAGUCGUCGGGUAGCAUGCUAUUCGGUGACACACCUAACGGAUUAAGCAUUCCGCCUGGGGAGUACGGUCGCAAGAUUAAAACUCAAAGGAAUUG
RNAcentral lists this ribosomal RNA (542 nucleotides) under uncultured bacterium. Its description in RNAcentral is "bacterial SSU rRNA". It matches the Rfam family "Bacterial small subunit ribosomal RNA", at positions 355 to 912 of the family's 1533-position model. The record is from RNAcentral.